AAAGAAGAAGAAGAGAAAAAAAA
RNAcentral lists this small RNA (23 nucleotides) under Arabidopsis thaliana (thale cress). RNAcentral's name for it is "ATSL143110". The record is from RNAcentral. Lineage: Eukaryota; Viridiplantae; Streptophyta; Magnoliopsida; Brassicales; Brassicaceae.